Molecule: long non-coding RNA, 244 nt
Filed under: Homo sapiens (human)
Lineage: Eukaryota; Metazoa; Chordata; Mammalia; Primates; Hominidae
Description: non-protein coding lnc-IFT20-8:1
Source: RNAcentral
CAAGCAUAGACCGGCAAGAUAUUCAGCUGUCUGGAAGUCUGGAGAUUUUGUCCAGCAAGAAGCCCCCUAACAAAAGGCAGAAUGCCAAACUGAGUGCUGACCUCUGACAUGGUUGAGCAGUUAAAGUAUGAUGUCUAUCAACUGCAGACUGCUCUCAGAAACUUCCAGCACCAGUGCUAUGCAAGGGAGCAGCAGGAGAGACAGCGAGAAGAGCUUCUGUCUCGAACCUUCACUGCUAACAUAA